RNAcentral lists this ribosomal RNA (274 nucleotides) under uncultured bacterium. RNAcentral describes it as "partial 16S ribosomal RNA". It matches the Rfam family "Bacterial small subunit ribosomal RNA", at positions 523 to 796 of the family's 1533-position model. The record is from RNAcentral.
AUACGGAGGGUGCAAGCGUUACUCGGAAUCACUGGGCGUAAAGCGCGCGCAGGCGGGCUGAUAAGUUGGAUGUGAAAGCCUACGGCUCAACCGUAGAACCGCAUCCAAAACUGUCAGUCUAGAGUGUGGGAGAGGAAGAUGGAAUUAGUUGUGUAGGGGUAAAAUCCGUAGAGAUAACUAGGAAUACCAAAAGCGAAGGCAAUCUUCUGGAACACUACUGACGCUGAGGCGCGAAGGCGUGGGGAGCAAACAGGAUUAGAAACCCGGGUAGUCC